GACGAACGCUGGCGGCGUGCUUAACACAUGCAAGUCGAACGGAAAGGCCCUGCUUUUGUUGCUUUCUCGAUUGGCGAACGGGUGAGUAACACGUGUGUAACCUCCCCUUGACUUUGUGAUAACUUCAGGAAACUGGGGCUAAUAUCGGAUAUGAUCUCCUGCUGCAUGUUGGUGGUUGGAAAGUUUCGGCUGUUGGGGAUGGACUCGAGGCUUAUCAGCUUGUUGGUGGGGUAGUGGCUUACCAAGGCUUUGACGGGUAGCCGGCCUGAGAGGGUUACCGGCGACAUUGGGACUGAGAGACGGACCAGACUCCUACGGGACGCAGAAGUGGGGAAUCUUGCACAAUGGGCGGAAGCCUGAUGCAGAAACGUCGCGUGCGGGAUGCCGGGCUUUGGGUUGUAAACCGCUUUCGAAUGUGACGAAGAGUGAGUGACGGUAAUGGGUCAAGAAGCCCCGGCUAACUACGUG
RNAcentral lists this ribosomal RNA (468 nucleotides) under uncultured bacterium. RNAcentral's name for it is "partial 16S ribosomal RNA". It matches the Rfam family "Bacterial small subunit ribosomal RNA", at positions 28 to 507 of the family's 1533-position model. The record is from RNAcentral.